Molecule: ribosomal RNA, 497 nt
Filed under: uncultured bacterium
Lineage: Bacteria
Description: partial 16S ribosomal RNA
Rfam family: Bacterial small subunit ribosomal RNA
Source: RNAcentral
GACGAACGCUGGCGGCGUGCCUAAUACAUGCAAGUUGAGCGCUGAAGGUUGGUACUUGUACCAACUGGAUGAGCAGCGAACGGGUGAGUAACGCGUGGGGAAUCUGCCUUUGAGCGGGGGACAACAUUUGGAAACGAAUGCUAAUACCGCAUAAAAACUUUAAACACAAGUUUUAAGUUUGAAAGAUGCAAUUGCAUCACUCAAAGAUGAUCCCGCGUUGUAUUAGCUAGUUGGUGAGGUAAAGGCUCGCCAAGGCGAUGAUACAUAGCCGACCUGAGAGGGUGAUCGGCCACAUUGGGACUGAGACACGGCCCAAACUCCUACGGGAGGCAGCAGUAGGGAAUCUUCGGCAAUGGACGAAAGUCUGACCGAGCAACGCCGCGUGAGUGAAGAAGGUUUUCGGAUCGUAAAACUCUGUUGGUAGAGAAGAACGUUGGUGAGAGUGGAAAGCUCAUCAAGUGACGGUAACUACACAGAAAGGGACGGCUAACUACGUG